RNAcentral lists this ribosomal RNA (978 nucleotides) under Triticum aestivum (bread wheat). Its description in RNAcentral is "partial small subunit ribosomal RNA". Lineage: Eukaryota; Viridiplantae; Streptophyta; Magnoliopsida; Poales; Poaceae. The record is from RNAcentral.
AUGUGGCUGUUGUGCAAUCCGUCGUUGCUUCAAUCCAUAAAGCAUCCCACAACUGUGUGUGCAAAAUGGGCUAAAAACUACAGGAUUAGGAUUGGCAAAGUGUUAGAUGAGACGGAAAGCAAUCCAAGUCGAGUUCCUGCGCUCGAGGCUUCGAUGCGUGCUUAUGCAGACAAGAAAGUUGGUACUAUUGUUCAUCCUGUAUUGGGGAAAAGUUUUGACUUGGUCGAAGAACCUUACGAGUUUUACAAUAUUACUCAUGGGAUACUGUGUUUUGGCGUCAGGUGUGCUAAAAGCCGGUUGAACGUUCAUCAGAAAAAAUGCAUCCAGGAAAUUGUGUGCAUGUGUGCGGGGCAGAGCACAACCAGACUUUCUGUCAACUAUAUGGAGAAAUUACACUGGAAGUCUCAUCGGCACAUAGAUAGAUACACAAGGGACCUUGUGAAACAGCCGAGGGAAAAAUUAAAAGAGGCGCCAUUCACCAAAAGGUCUCUGAAGAAGCUUAACCAAGAGCAAUCAGGAAAUGAUGCAACAAAGACCAUAGAGGUGUUCAACGCGAUGAGGGGUGAAGAUCCUGAUUUCACAUACAGUGUACAGGUUAACGAGGUGGGUCGAGUGAAAAAUCUGAUGUGGACAAUGGGAAAAAUCCAACACAAAAGUGGAGGCCAAAAUCCAGCACAGAGUGCCUCGCAAUGUUCUGAUUGUUUUGCAGCACCGACAAAGAAAAGGCAGCUGGAUGCCCUAGCACAAGUCGCGGCAAAGCACCAUAUGAGCAACCAAAAAAGAGGUCUAGGUUCUGUUCUAUCUGCAGAGGUUAAGGUCACAAGAGCACCACUUUUCCGCAACGAGGAGAUCUUCCAAAGGCGCCGAGGAAGUCGCCUCGAUGCUCCAGAUGCAGCUGGUGAGGUCACGGGAAGAACACUUGCACCAACCCGCCCAAAGCAGACUUUGGAGACUGAUUUUAGAAUGGCUCGUAUUUGA